Molecule: ribosomal RNA, 241 nt
Filed under: Vibrio chagasii
Lineage: Bacteria; Pseudomonadati; Pseudomonadota; Gammaproteobacteria; Vibrionales; Vibrionaceae
Description: partial 23S ribosomal RNA
Rfam family: Bacterial large subunit ribosomal RNA
Source: RNAcentral
AGAGGCGAUGAAGGACGUAUUAACUUGCGAUAAGCCCAGAUUAGACAGUAAAAGUCAUUUGAGUCUGGGAUUUCCGAAUGGGGAAACCCACUUACAUAAGUAAGUAUCUUGUUGUGAAUACAUAGCAGCAAGAGGCAAACCGGGGGAACUGAAACAUCUAAGUACCCCGAGGAAGAGAAAUCAACCGAGAUUCCGAAAGUAGCGGCGAGCGAAAUUGGAUUAGCCCUUAAGCUUUUAAUGA